Molecule: transfer RNA, 77 nt
Filed under: Sulfobacillus acidophilus DSM 10332
Lineage: Bacteria; Bacillati; Bacillota; Clostridia; Eubacteriales; Clostridiales Family XVII. Incertae Sedis
Also listed under: 4 other names
Description: tRNA-Pro (TGG) (tRNA-Pro-TGG-1-1)
Rfam family: tRNA
About the family: Transfer RNA (tRNA) molecules are approximately 80 nucleotides in length. Their secondary structure includes four short double-helical elements and three loops (D, anti-codon, and T loops).
Source: RNAcentral
CGGGGCGUGGCGCAGCUUGGUAGCGCACUUGCUUUGGGAGCAAGGGGUCGGGGGUUCGAAUCCCUCCGCCCCGACCA